RNAcentral lists this ribosomal RNA (301 nucleotides) under uncultured bacterium. RNAcentral describes it as "partial 16S ribosomal RNA". It matches the Rfam family "Bacterial small subunit ribosomal RNA", at positions 509 to 809 of the family's 1533-position model. The record is from RNAcentral.
CAGUAGCCACGGUAAUACGAAGGGGGCUAGCGUUGUUCGGAAUUACUGGGCGUAAAGCGCACGUAGGCGGAUAUUUAAGUCAGGGGUGAAAUCCCAGAGCUCAACUCUGGAACUGCCUUUGAUACUGGGUAUCUUGAGUAUGGAAGAGGUGAGUGGAAUUCCGAGUGUAGAGGUGAAAUUCGUAGAUAUUCGGAGGAACACCAGUAGCGGAGGCGGCUCACUGGUCCAUUACUGACGCUGAGGUGUGAAAGCGUGGGGAGCAAACAGGAUUAGAGACCCCAGUAGUCCCUGUCUCUUAUAA